UACAGGGGGGGCAAGCGUUGUUCGGAAUUACUGGGCGUAAAGGGCUCGUAGGUGGCCAACUAAGUCAGACGUGAAAUCCCUCAGCUUAACUGGGGAACUGCGUCUGAUACUGGAUGGCUUGAGUUUGGGAGAGGGAUGCGGAAUUCCAGGUGUAGCGGUGAAAUGCGUAGAUAUCUGGAGGAACACCGGUGGCGAAGGCGGCAUCCUGGACCAAUACUGACACUGAGGAGCGAAAGCCAGGGGAGCAAACGGG
RNAcentral lists this ribosomal RNA (253 nucleotides) under uncultured bacterium. Its description in RNAcentral is "partial 16S ribosomal RNA". It matches the Rfam family "Bacterial small subunit ribosomal RNA", at positions 524 to 776 of the family's 1533-position model. The record is from RNAcentral.